GCGGGUGUAGUUCAGUAGCAGAACAGCCUCCCUCCAGGAGGAAGACGUACGUGCGAUUCGUGCCACCUGCUCCA
This 74-nucleotide transfer RNA is filed under the name Terracoccus luteus. RNAcentral's name for it is "tRNA-Gly". It matches the Rfam family "tRNA". From Rfam's summary of the family: Transfer RNA (tRNA) molecules are approximately 80 nucleotides in length. Their secondary structure includes four short double-helical elements and three loops (D, anti-codon, and T loops). Lineage: Bacteria; Bacillati; Actinomycetota; Actinomycetes; Micrococcales; Intrasporangiaceae. The record is from RNAcentral. RNAcentral also lists the same sequence under 3 other names.